Molecule: long non-coding RNA, 1439 nt
Organism: Canis lupus familiaris (dog)
Lineage: Eukaryota; Metazoa; Chordata; Mammalia; Carnivora; Canidae
Exons: 3
Source: RefSeq, a predicted model, not a curated record
ACCCCGGGGGCCCCGCUGGGGGCGCGGGCCCGGACCCGCAGCGGCCGCGGGGAGACUUGAACCCGGAGCAGGCGACGGGCGAGGAUGUCACCCUCCUCCGGGAGGCCCCUGGUGGGAGACGCCUCCUUGCGCAGGGACCUGCGACCAAGACAUCGAGGCCACCCCAAGAGGGACACUGAGUAAAAAUGGCACGAAGCAUCAGCUCCUCCAAUAGUAGGUUUUGCCAAGCCACCCCUCCACAUGUGCUAUUUGACUUACUUGCUGGCUGGGAAACUCUUAACUCAUUUCCUAAUUACUGCACUGUGCUGAGCUAAAAGCCUUAAAGCUGUCCCACAAAACACAUAGGCUGUAAUUAUUUAUUUGAAAGAGAGAGAAAGCAUACAAGCAGGAGGAGCAGAAGAAGAAUGAGAAGGAGAAUCUCAAGCAGACUCUACUCUGAGCCGGGAACCCAACUUGAGGCCCAAUCCCAUGACCCUGAGAUCACAACCUGACUGAAACCAAGAAUCAGACACUCAGCCAACUGUGCCACCCGGACACCCCAAUAUCUAUUUCUUAACCUGCGUAGGAAUUACAUGAUAGUAAUUGCAUCAUGCUUUGCUUUAUGAUUUUUAUUAUGCAGUUAUUUAUGUCUUAUGUACUUUGUGAGUGGUAUAUUUCAUAAUAUUGUAAAAUGAAAUGUUUUAAAAAGGAAGAAUACACACACAGCCAGUUGGGUAAGUUCAGUCAACCUGCACAGCCAGUUGCGCAGCCAUUCUGCUGCAGCCAGAACACUCUCAAGUGAUAAUAAUAGUAACAAGUUGCAUGAUUAAACACCUACUGUGACCAGAAACCAUGCUUAUUCAAUGCUCAAAAUAAUCAUGCAAGUUGACUGUCAUUAUUCCUAUGUAAUGUAAAUGUCUGUAAAUCACCCAUCACAUGCCUCCUUUCCAGCCUACCUGGACUUUGGACUUGGUCUAUGGCUACAGCCUGUAUCUUUACAGCCUGAAUGUCUUUCAUUCCUUACAGUGCUCAAUAUCUAGAUGGGUAUAGGAGUAAUGACAAGUUGGGCCUUGAGAAGCCAUAUUAUGUAACCUGAAGAUUUCCUCCUUCCUUCACCCCUGGACAGCCAUCUAGCAAACAGGAUCCAGCUUCCUGGACCACAAAAACAAUUCUGACAGGGGUUCUAUGAAGCGUGUAUAUCUUUAUGGAGGCUUCCAGUUUCACAAAUUCAGAGGGUUGAGAUACUGUCCAUGGAAUAGAUGAAUGCUGUACCACCUCAAUACAUAGGUGAGCCCUUGCCAAAAGGCUCCAGAUUUCUGGGAAAUUGUUCUCUCCUUUAAAAACAUUUUAUGGGGCAGCCCAGGUGGCUCAGCGGUUUAGCACCAUCUUCAGCCCAGGUCAUGGUCCUGGAGACCAGGGAUUGAGUCCCAUCUCUGGCUCCCUGCAUGGAGCCUGCUUCU